CCUACGGGUGGCUGCAGUGGGGGAUAUUGGACAAUGGGGGGAACCCUGAUCCAGCGACGCCGCGUGAGUGAAGAAGUAUUUCGGUAUGUAAAGCUCUGUCAGCAGGGAAGAAAGAAAUGACGGUACCUGACCAAGAAGCCCCGCCUAACUACGUGCCAGCAGCCGCGGUAAUCCGUAGGGCGCAAGCGUGAUCCGGAAUUACUGGGUGUAAAGGGGGCUUAGACGGGUAAGUAAGUCUGGAGUGAAAGGCCGGGGCCCAACCCCGGGACUGCUGUGGACACUAUUGAACUUGAGUGCAGGAGAGGUAAGCGGAAGUCCUAGGGUAGCGGUGAAAUGCGUAGAUAGUAGGAGGAACACCAGUGGCGAAGGCGGCUGACUGGACUGUAACUGACGUUGAGGCUCGAAAGCGUGGGGAGCAAACAGGAUUAGAUACCCUUGUAGUC
RNAcentral lists this ribosomal RNA (443 nucleotides) under uncultured bacterium. Its description in RNAcentral is "partial 16S ribosomal RNA". It matches the Rfam family "Bacterial small subunit ribosomal RNA", at positions 338 to 795 of the family's 1533-position model. The record is from RNAcentral.